Molecule: long non-coding RNA, 503 nt
Organism: Anopheles moucheti
Lineage: Eukaryota; Metazoa; Arthropoda; Insecta; Diptera; Culicidae
Exons: 3
Source: RefSeq, a predicted model, not a curated record
AACGCGUUCGGCCUCGCAAGUGAGCGGAACUGGUCGCAAAACAACGGAAUAUCAAGCACUAUUUCGUGCCAGUUGGUGAUUGUGGAAAACUGUCAGCAGGUGCGCUCCGUAGUGCCUGUACCGUUGAUUGGAAAUUUUACCGUGGAAAAAGACGGAAAACGGUGAACAUCGAGCAGCGUGUGAAACGGCAUUGUGGCCGAAAGCCAUACACACGGAACCGCUGGACACAGACACCGCAUACAGAAGCGACAAACUCGCAGUAGCGACACGGCACGGCAAAACCGUACGCGAGUGAUUAUCCAACUUUGGUGCGCGUACCGUGCAAACGGCAAACUUUUUCUCAUAUGCAAUCUGAAUUGCCCACCCGGCUCGCAGUACCAGAAGCAAACUCGGUUUAAUAUUUAAUCGCAUCAUAUCCCAAUCACGGACCCAAAACGCUUCACACUAGUCGAGCGUAAAAUCCUCACCUUCAAGUGUUAUUUCUACCCCUGGAUUUGUCUAAC